Mesocricetus auratus (golden hamster) is the source of this 303-nucleotide long non-coding RNA. RefSeq lists it as uncharacterized. The record is from RefSeq and is a predicted model, not a curated record. NCBI's taxonomy places the organism in Eukaryota, Metazoa, Chordata, Mammalia, Rodentia, Cricetidae. The transcript has 2 exons.
GAGUGCAGCGCGCGGGACAAGCCUCGAUCUGGGUGCCUGGAAAAUGUCCUCCUAUUUACCCAACAGGAAUGAAGCUCUGAAGGAUGCUUUAGUUUGCUGCAUUCGUGUGUGUGUGUACUUAACCCUUUAGAGGCUGAAAGAGUUGGGCUUCGUCUCAAUGCCUUUGUUAAAGCCUUUUCUUCUGGCCACCACUAGGAAUUGUCACCGCUUCCCAGCUCCAGAGAUCUCCCCUGCCUGUACCCCCACAGGAGAUCUGAGCUCCUUCUGAUGAUUAAUAAAUGCUGUUUGCUCACAGAAUAACAA